UGAUUGUUACUUGUCAGUUGGAGGACAGAAUACAUGAUGUGAUGACUAAUCAACAAUAUUGUCAAGAAACUGAUGGAGUCAAAAAUCAUUGAAGUAAUUUAUAUAGAGCUGCACUAUGGACCGAUUCAUGUAUACUAAAGUUCUCCCAGUUUCUUUGAAAAAAUCUAAAAAUCUAAAAUAUCAAAAUUAAAAACAAAGGAGUUAAUUGGAAACUGCAUGAAAAAUGAAAAGGAAUCACCUUAAACAAUGAGAUUUCGACAAAUGACAACAAGAAUAAGAAGAUUUUGCCUCGCCUCCAUGACCUGUAAAUUCUUUAUCUUUUUCUAAGAAAGAUAGGGGAAGAUACUAUCUAGGUUAAUCUGAUUAAGAUGAUGAAAUAAAAGCCACAAUAGAAACCCCCAGUGAGGUAUAGACUAACAAAAGCACAAAAAUGGAUGAGGGUAAAAAAUGAAAACCAAAGACUGAUACACACCAUGAGAUUCAAAAAUUACAGACUGAGAAAAGCCUUAAAGACCAAAAUUCGGAGAUAAACCUCCUAGACAUAGCCUGCUUCCACAAAAUUAUUUUAUCUUACUUUUCAGAAGUUGAAAACUUUCGAAGGGACUGACAUUUAUGAGCUGAAGGCUAAGUGACAGAUAAAUAUUCUAAAAGCCAAAAAAACAAAGAAUUAUAUGAAAAGGAGCUGCCACUUGGCUUAAUAUGCAAUAACAUAAUCAAGUUGGAUCUCAUGAUCUAUAUAUAGGAUUGUAUGACACGAUCCAUAAUGCAGAUCUUAUGACCCUUUUGCAAGGAUGCAAGUAGGAACAUUAAGGGCAUUCUGAUCUGGAUUGUAGAAGUUUAUAUCUUGAAC
This 850-nucleotide long non-coding RNA is filed under the name Phoenix dactylifera (date palm). RNAcentral's name for it is "long non-coding RNA (PDAC_LNC017621)". The record is from RNAcentral. Lineage: Eukaryota; Viridiplantae; Streptophyta; Magnoliopsida; Arecales; Arecaceae.